UGGCUCAGUGGUAGAGCGCUUGCCUUGCAUGCAUGAGGCCCUAGGUUCAAUUCCUCAG
Molecule: non-coding RNA, 58 nt
Organism: Dipodomys ordii (Ord's kangaroo rat)
Lineage: Eukaryota; Metazoa; Chordata; Mammalia; Rodentia; Heteromyidae
Source: Rfam